RNAcentral lists this unclassified non-coding RNA (265 nucleotides) under uncultured fungus. RNAcentral describes it as "partial contains small subunit ribosomal RNA, internal transcribed spacer 1, and 5.8S ribosomal RNA". The stretch from base 1 to 73 matches the Rfam family "Eukaryotic small subunit ribosomal RNA", at positions 1759 to 1831 of the family's 1831-position model. Lineage: Eukaryota; Fungi. The record is from RNAcentral.
UCAAACUUGGUCAUUUAGAGGAAGUAAAAGUCGUAACAAGGUUUCCGUAGGUGAACCUGCGGAAGGAUCAUUAUCGUUGGGCUUCGGCCCAUUCGAGAUAACACCCUUGCCUUUUUGAGUACCUUUUCGUUUCCUCGGCAGGCUCGCCUGCCAACGGGGACCCUUCAAAACGCUUUGUAGUACCUGUAACUGUCUGAUACAACAAGCAAAAAUCAAAACUUUCAACAACGGAUCUCUUGGUUCUGGCAUCGAUGAAGAACGCAGC